AUUGAACGCUGGCGGCAUGCCUUACACAUGCAAGUCGAACGGCAGCACGGGUGCUUGCACCUGGUGGCGAGUGGCGAACGGGUGAGUAAUACAUCGGAACGUACCUUAUCGUGGGGGACAACGCAGCGAAAGCUGUGCUAAUACCGCAUACGCCCUGAGGGGGGAAAGCGGGGGAUCGCAAGACCUCGCGCGAGUAGAGCGGCCGAUGCCUGAUUAGCUUGUUGGUGGGGUAAAAGCCCACCAAGGCGACGAUCAGUAGCUGGUCUGAGAGGACGAUCAGCCACACUGGGACUGAGACACGGCCCAGACUCCUACGGGAGGCAGCAGUGGGGAAUUUUGGACAAUGGGGGCAACCCUGAUCCAGCAAUGCCGCGUGAGUGAAGAAGGCCUUCGGGUUGUAAUGCUCUUUUGUCAGGGAAGAAACACCGGCUCUAACACAGUCCGGGAAUGACGGUACCUGAAGAAUAAGCACCGGCUAACUACGUGCCAGCCGCCGCAGUAA
RNAcentral lists this ribosomal RNA (502 nucleotides) under uncultured bacterium. Its description in RNAcentral is "partial 16S ribosomal RNA". It matches the Rfam family "Bacterial small subunit ribosomal RNA", at positions 29 to 523 of the family's 1533-position model. The record is from RNAcentral.